Molecule: ribosomal RNA, 506 nt
Filed under: Pseudolycoriella wernermohrigi
Lineage: Eukaryota; Metazoa; Arthropoda; Insecta; Diptera; Sciaridae
Description: partial 16S ribosomal RNA
Source: RNAcentral
GUCUUUUUGAUUUUAAUUUAAAGUUUAACCUGCCCAUUGAAAAUUUUUAAAAGGYUGCGGUAUUUUGACUGUACAAAGGUAGCAUAAUCAUUAGUUUUUUAAUUGAAAACUUGUAUGAAUGGUUGAAUGAGAAAUUAACUUUUUUAAAAAAAUAAUUGAAUUUUACUUUUUAAUUAAAAGGUUAAAAUAAAUUUAAAAGACGAGAAGACCCUAUAGAGUUUUAUAAUUUAUAUUUAAUAUUUAAAAAGAUUAAUUAAAAUUUUAUAAAAGAAAAUAUUUUGUUGGGGUGAUAAUAAAAUUUAAAUAACUUUUAUUUUUUUUUACAUUAAUAUAUGAAUUUAUGAUCCAUUAUUGAUGAUUAGAAAUUUAAAUUACCUUAGGGAUAACAGCGUAAUUUUUUUUUAAAGUUCAUAUUAAUAAAAAAUUUUGCGACCUCGAUGUUGGAUUAAGAUUUAAUUUUAGGUGCAGCAGUUUAAAUUUUAAGUCUGUUCGACUUUUAAAUUCUU